AUGUGGCUUGCUGUUCAUAGAAGGUGUCUGACGGCUAAUAAUCUGGAAAAGCCUGAAACCUGCUCUCGCUUAUUUGUGCACUGCAGUUUCAGUAAUCAGGUUUGGGCGAGGUUCAAGGCGUGGGCACGAGCUGAUUUUCAGAUUCCAGAUAACACCUUCAGCACCACGGAAGACUGGUGGUUGAAGGCUAGGGCGGUGAUCCCCAAGCAAAUGAGGCGCAAUUUUGAUACAAUUGCCAUCCUUCUUCAUUGGAGGAUCUGGAAGAAAAGAAAUGCGAGGAUAUUCGACAAUGUGGCAAGCUCCCCUGACAAGGUUCGGGACCUGAUCUUGGAAGAUAUAGACGUGUGGAGAUCGGCCGGCUGUAUCAACGACUUGGCGCCUUAA
RNAcentral lists this ribosomal RNA (384 nucleotides) under Triticum aestivum (bread wheat). Its description in RNAcentral is "partial small subunit ribosomal RNA". Lineage: Eukaryota; Viridiplantae; Streptophyta; Magnoliopsida; Poales; Poaceae. The record is from RNAcentral.